GAUGAACGCUGGCGGCGUGCCUAAUACAUGCAAGUCGAGCGAACAGACGAGGAGCUUUCUCCUCUGACGUUAGCGGCGGACGGGUGAGUAACACGUGGAUAACCUACCUAUAAGACUGGGAUAACUUCGGGAAACCGGAGCUAAUACCGGAUAAUAUAUUGAACCGCAUGGUUCAAUAGUUAAAGACGGUUUUGCUGUCACUUAUAGAUGGAUCCGCGCCGCAUUAGCUAGUUGGUAAGGUAACGGCUUACCAAGGCGACGAUGCGUAGCCGACCUGAGAGGGUGAUCGGCCACACUGGAACUGAGACACGGUCCCGACUCCUACGGGAGGCAGCAGUAGGGAAUCUUCCGCAAUGGGCGAAAGCCUGACGGAGCAACGCCGCGUGAGUGAUGAAGGUCUUCGGAUCGUAAAACUCUGUUAUUAGGGAAGAACAAAUGUGUAAGUAACUAUGCACGUCUUGACGGUACCUAAUCAGAAAGCCACGGCUAACUACGUG
This 497-nucleotide ribosomal RNA is filed under the name uncultured bacterium. RNAcentral's name for it is "partial 16S ribosomal RNA". It matches the Rfam family "Bacterial small subunit ribosomal RNA", at positions 28 to 507 of the family's 1533-position model. The record is from RNAcentral.